This 3201-nucleotide ribosomal RNA is filed under the name Bathymodiolus thermophilus thioautotrophic gill symbiont. RNAcentral describes it as "LSU rRNA ## 23S rRNA, large subunit ribosomal RNA". It matches the Rfam family "Bacterial large subunit ribosomal RNA". The record is from RNAcentral. Lineage: Bacteria; Pseudomonadati; Pseudomonadota; Gammaproteobacteria.
GGUCAAGUGAAUAAGUGCAUACGACGGAUGCCUUGGCAUUAGAAGGCGAUGAAGGACGUGAUAAUCUGCGAUAAGCUUCGGUUAGCUGAUAAUAAGCAUUAUUAGCCGGAGAUCUCCGAAUGGGAAAACCCAGUGGUCAUCAGACCAUUAUCCUUAACUGAAUACAUAGGUUAAGGAGGCAAACCUAGGGAACUGAAACAUCUAAGUACCUAGAGGAAAAGAAAUCAACCGAGAUUCCCUUAGUAGCGGCGAGCGAACGGGGAACAGCCCUUAAGCAUAUUUUAAAUUACUAGAAUGUUCUGGAAAGUUCAACGAUACAGGGUGAUAGUCCCGUAUAGGAAAAUUUAAUUUAUGUGAAAUCGAGUAAGGCGGCGCACGUGAAACGCUGUUUGAAUAUGGGGGGACCACCCUCCAAGGCUAAAUACUCUCUAAUGACCGAUAGUGAACAAGUACCGUGAGGGAAAGGCGAAAAGAACCCCGGGAGGGGAGUGAAAUAGAACCUGAAAUCGUAUGCAUACAAGCAGUAGGAGCGGAUUUAUUCCGUGACUGCGUACCUUUUGUAUAAUGGGUCAGCGACUUACUUCUCAGUAGCAAGGUUAACCAUUAGGGGAGCCGUAGGGAAACCGAGUCUUAAAUGGGCGUUUAGUUGCUGGGAGUAGACCCGAAACCGGGUGAUCUAUCCAUGGCCAGGGUGAAGGUUAGGUAAAACUAACUGGAGGCCCGAACCCACUUAUGUUGAAAAAUGAGGGGAUGAGCUGUGGAUAGGGGUGAAAGGCCAAACAAACCCGGAGAUAGCUGGUUCUCUCCGAAAUCUAUUUAGGUAGAGCGUCAUGUAUUACUUCAGGGGGUAGAGCACUGUUAUGGCUAGCGGGUCGUCAAGACUUAGUAAACCAUUGCAAACUCCGAAUACCUGAAAGUAUGAGCAUGGCAGACACACUGCGGGUGCUAACGUCCGUAGUGGAAAGGGAAACAACCCAGACCGUCAGCUAAGGUCCCAAAAUUGUAGUUAAGUGGGAAACGAUGUGAAAAGGCCCAGACAGCCAGGAGGUUGGCUUAGAAGCAGCCAUUCCUUUAAAGAGUGCGUAAUAGCUCACUGGUCGAGUCGGUUUGCGCGGAAGAUUUAACGGGGCUAAAACUACAUACCGAAGCUACGGAUCAGAAGGCAGAACAAAAUAAAUUAUCACUUCUAAUGUAUAAUCUCUUAAUUUUACGAUAGGCUAUAAAAUUAUGGGAAUAAUCAAAAAAUUUGAUAAAAUUAUUUAUGAAUCUAAUAUUGAUUUAACUAGGCAAACAACUAUAAAUAAAACAGAGGUAAAAAUAGACGAGCAUAACAAGUGUUUUCAGAUAAGGACUUACGGUUCUAAAAAUAGAGAACACUCUAAUGUUGCAAGUCAAACUAUGUUGUUUACAGGUAAAUCAUUAGAUGAGUUAAAAAAGAUACUUAAUAAAUUGUAAGUUUAUUUUGUUCUGUCUUCUGAUGGUAGGAGAGCGUUCUGUAAGCCGUUGAAGGUGAACUGUGAGGUUUGCUGGAGGUAUCAGAAGUGCGAAUGCUGACAUGAGUAACGAUAAAGGGGGUGAAAAACCCCCUCGCCAGAAGUCCAAGGUUUCCUACGCAACGUUAAUCGGCGUAGGGUUAGUCGGCCCCUAAGGCGAGGCAGAAAUGCGUAGUCGAUGGGAAACAGGUUAAUAUUCCUGUACUUCAUAUAACUGCGAUGGGAAGACGGAGAAGGUUAGCGCAGCUUGGCGAUGGUUGUCCAAGUUCAAGCGUGUAGAAAUGAGUUUUAGGAAAAUCCGGAACUCUCUAUUUCAAGGCGUGAUAACGAUCCCUCUUUUGGGAGAAGUGCGUGAUACCAUGCUUCCAGGAAAAUCCUCUAAGCUUCAGGUUAUAUGAAACCGUACCCCAAACCGACACAGGUGGACGAGAUGAGAAUUCUAAGGCGCUUGAGAGAACUCGGGUGAAGGAACUAGGCAAAAUGACACCGUAACUUCGGGAGAAGGUGUGCUCUUGCUGGUGAUUUUACUUGCUAAAUGAGCUGGUAAGAGUUGAAGAUACCAGGUGGCUCCGACUGUUUAUUAAAAACACAGCACUCUGCAAACACGUAAGUGGACGUAUAGGGUGUGACGCCUGCCCGGUGCUUGAAGGUUAAUUGAUGAGGUUAGGAUUCGUCCGAAGCUUUUGAUCGAAGCCCAAGUAAACGGCGGCCGUAACUAUAACGGUCCUAAGGUAGCGAAAUUCCUUGUCGGGUAAGUUCCGACCUGCACGAAUGGCGUAACGAGGGCCACACUGUCUCCACCCGAGACUCAGUGAAAUUGAAAUUGCUGUUAAGAUGCAGUAUACCCGCGGCCAGACGGAAAGACCCCGUGCACCUUUACUACAGCUUUGCAUUGAACUCUGAUCCUACUUGUGUAGGAUAGGUGGGAGGCUUUGAAGCUUGAACGCUAGUUUGAGUGGAGCCACCCUUGAAAUACCACCCUGGUAUGGUUGGGGUUCUAACCUAGGUCCGUUAUCCGGAUUGGGGACAAUGCAUGGUGGGUAGUUUGACUGGGGCGGUCUCCUCCCAAAGAGUAACGGAGGAGCGCAAAGGUACCCUCAGCACGGUCGGACAUCGUGCAAUGAGCGCAAAGGUAAAAGGGUGCUUGACUGCGAGACUGACACGUCGAGCAGGUAGGAAACUAGGUCUUAGUGAUCCGGUGGUUCUGAGUGGAAGGACCAUCGCUCAACGGAUAAAAGGUACGCCGGGGAUAACAGGCUGAUACCGCCCAAGAGUUCACAUCGACGGCGGUGUUUGGCACCUCGAUGUCGGCUCAUCACAUCCUGGGGCUGAAGCAGGUCCCAAGGGUAUGGCUGUUCGCCAUUUAAAGUGGUACGCGAGCUGGGUUUAGAACGUCGUGAGACAGUUCGGUCCCUAUCUACCGUGGGCGUUGGAGACUUGAGGGAAGCUGUUCUUAGUACGAGAGGACCGGAAUGGACACACCUCUGGUGUUUCGGUUGUGACGCCAGUCGCAUUGCCGAGUAGCUAUGUGUGGAAAGGAUAACCGCUGAAAGCAUCUAAGCGGGAAGCCCCUCCCAAGAUUAGGUCUCCCUGAUAGUUUAACUAUCCUAAAGAUCCCUUGAAGACUACGAGGUUGAUAGGCAGGGUGUGGAAGCGCAGUGAUGUGUGAAGCUAACCUGUACUAAUUGAUCGUGAGGCUUGACCAUAU